UAAUCAAGUUUCGUCAGCUGACUGGACUGUC
RNAcentral lists this non-coding RNA (31 nucleotides) under Rattus norvegicus (Norway rat). The record is from RNAcentral. Lineage: Eukaryota; Metazoa; Chordata; Mammalia; Rodentia; Muridae.